UGCCGUUUCGUCUUCUUGUUAACAUUUCAUUUCAUUUUGUAAUUCCCAUCUCCCUCCCUAUCAAAUUCCAUCUCUCUUCUCUUUGAAACCCUAAAUCACCAUGGGAGAAUCUAUGCCUCCUCGUCGCAAUUCCGUUCAUCAAGCUCUCGGAGGUGGCCAUGUUGCUGAUGUGCUCCUGUGGAAGAAAUGGAGUGGAGGAGUUUUACUGCUGACCUCUACGACGGCGUCGUGGUUGCUGUUUGAGCGAGCUGGCUACAAUCUCUUGUCCUUUGUGGCUAAUGUUCUACUGCUACUUGUAGUCAUCCUCUUCCUCUGGGCCAAAUCGGCUUCUCUUCUCAACAGACCUUUGCCUCCUCUCCCCGAUAUGGAAAUCUCAGAGGCUAAUGUAGUGAAGGCUGCUGAGGCACUGCAUGCUGGGAUUAAUCGUGGAUUGUCUAUUGCACGAGACAUUGCUAUUGGGAGAAAUUGGAAACUCUUCCUUCAGGUCGCUUUCUGCUUGUGGCUAGCUUCUUACAUCGGAAGUUUCUUCAACUUCCUUACUCUUGUCUACAUUGGGGUUCUCCUAAGUCUUUCAGUGCCCAUGUUGUAUGAUAAGUAUCAGGACCACAUUGAUGAUAAGCUGCAUGUAGCAAACAGAGUAAUACAAGCACAGUACAGGAAAAUUGAUGGUAGCAUCCUAAAGAAAAUUCCUUUGCGGUCAAACAAGGAGAAGAAGCUACAGUAGGCACUGGUGGAAUUAAUUCAGGCCAUAUUUGUUAUAUAUGCUGGUUUGCUGAAUCUAUGUGCACAGUGGAUUUGAAGGAUGUGAUUAGUGUUUUCAGGGUAUUAUGGAGCGACGAAAAGUGUGAUGACGGCCUUUUAUAGAUGGUUUCGAACAUUCCGAGUAGCGUACUUGGGUUAUAUUUUUGUUGACAUGGAGCGACGAAAAGUGUGAUAACGGCAUAGUUGACAAGAUUUGGGUGGAUCCUGUGAGUGUCUACAUUGUUUCUGGCUCUGGACCUUAUUAUAUUGUUGGGUGGAUCUUGGUGGUUAAAACUUUACGUCUCUAUGGGAUGAAAGAGAAACUUAAAUCAUUCUAAUGAAAUAUAGAAUGUUUUUGCUUGCCU
This is an RNA transcript of Malus domestica (apple), 1106 nucleotides long. It is a transcript of the gene named reticulon-like protein B11, with no coding region annotated. The record is from RefSeq and is a predicted model, not a curated record. NCBI's taxonomy places the organism in Eukaryota, Viridiplantae, Streptophyta, Magnoliopsida, Rosales, Rosaceae.